CGAACUGCGAUAAGUAAUGUGAAUUGCAGAAUUCAGUGAAUCAUCGAAUCUUUGAACGCACAUUGCGCCCGCCAGUAUUCUGGCGGGCAUGCCUGUUCGAGCGUCAUUUCAACCAUCAAGCCCCCGGCUUGUGUUGGGGACCUGCGGCUGCCCGCAGGCCCUGAAAAACAGUGGCGGGCUCGCUGUCACACCGAGCGUAGUAGCAUACAUUCUCGCUCAGGGCGUGCUGCGGGUUCCGGCCGUUAAACGACCUUCAUAACCCAAGGUUGACCUCGGAUCAGGUAGGAAGACCCGCUGAACUUAAGC
This 306-nucleotide unclassified non-coding RNA is filed under the name plant metagenome. Its description in RNAcentral is "partial contains 5.8S ribosomal RNA, internal transcribed spacer 2, and large subunit ribosomal RNA". The stretch from base 1 to 106 matches the Rfam family "5.8S ribosomal RNA", at positions 49 to 154 of the family's 154-position model. The record is from RNAcentral.